GGGAUUGUGGCUCAGUGGCAGAGUACUUGCCUCACAAGUAUGAGUCACUGGGUUCAAUUCUCAGCAUCACA
Molecule: non-coding RNA, 71 nt
Organism: Ictidomys tridecemlineatus (thirteen-lined ground squirrel)
Lineage: Eukaryota; Metazoa; Chordata; Mammalia; Rodentia; Sciuridae
Source: Rfam